CCGUUGCCGGCGACGGCGCACGGUGAGUAACACGUAUGCAACCUGCCCGUGGCAGGGGGAUAAGCGGGGGAAACCCCGUCUAAUACCGCGUAACGCGGCCUAGGGACAUCCCAAGGCCGCCAAAGGAGCAAUCCCGGCCACGGAUGGGCAUGCGGCGCAUUAGCUAGUCGGCGGGGUAACGGCCCACCGAGGCGACGAUGCGUAGGGGUUCUGAGAGGAAGGCCCCCCACACUGGUACUGAGACACGGACCAGACUCCUACGGGAGGCAGCAG
This 273-nucleotide ribosomal RNA is filed under the name uncultured bacterium. RNAcentral's name for it is "partial 16S ribosomal RNA". It matches the Rfam family "Bacterial small subunit ribosomal RNA", at positions 83 to 354 of the family's 1533-position model. The record is from RNAcentral.